This is a long non-coding RNA of Fukomys damarensis (Damara mole-rat), 1010 nucleotides long. RefSeq lists it as uncharacterized. The transcript is spliced from 5 exons. The record is from RefSeq and is a predicted model, not a curated record. NCBI's taxonomy places the organism in Eukaryota, Metazoa, Chordata, Mammalia, Rodentia, Bathyergidae.
GCCUCCUUUCAGCUAAGCACGCUCCCCGCUCCUCUCGCUAGGGGGCGGUAUCGCCUAACUGCUGACUCCCGCAGGCCUCGCCGGCUGAGGCCGGACCUAGCGCCUAGCGCGAGCCUUCAACCAAGACCAUCGCAUCUCUGCUGCCGCUACAGCGGUGCCAGCUCUGUCCUUCUUCGCCCUCUCUUGCAACCCCAGUAGUGAGCUCAGAGCAGAGGAGGCUCACGGAACCCAGGGUGGGCUCGCUGACUGGGGCAGAGGGCAGACUGAGUGCUGUGAGUGCCCUGUGACCUUGCCUUGUCCCCGUGACCCUGUCCCUCACCUCCGUCUCGUCUCUGCCUGGCUUCCGGGCCGGCUUCAGACAGGGGAGCGAUGGAUCAGCUACCCCUGGGCACCUGGCGCAGACUCACAGCCUCCCUCUCAGCAUACACCUUGCGUUACCUCCUGCCACAGGACGUGCGGCCAGAGCGGGCCCUCGUGGCCGCGAGGUCACCGUGGUGCGCAUGUCCGUGCACGGAGGAGCUCUCCUCUCCAGCUGUACCAAUCUGCUGGUUCAUUAGGCUCACAGAAGAACAGAACUUCAGAUCAUUUUUUGUGAUGUUGAAGUCGUCUCUGUUAGCAGGUUGUUCUGGGGCUGCACCACCGUGAUGAAGAGCCCUCAGGAGGUGAGAUAUCCCAGCUGCUCCAAACAGGAAGUACCACCACUGGGAAGCUGAAAAAAAAACCCAUGUCUGCCCAGACACUAAGCCCUUAGAGCUUUGACCACAUACAUACUGCGUGGGAAAAAAAGAGUCCAGACUCUACUUUAUCUGUAGCCUCUUGGAACAUUGUCUCUCUUACACCUCCCAGUCAAGGGUUAUACUCCAAGAUCUGCUUUCUAAGCUUUGUGACCUAAUUAGAGGUUUGAAAAACUGGUAUCAGAAAUGCCCAGGAUCAUUUUUAUGGGCCUUUGUGAAUAAGAAAACAACGCCAACAAGUCAAUAUUAUGCGCGAAUGGCAGUAAAAUCCCACUA